This 417-nucleotide long non-coding RNA is filed under the name Helianthus annuus (common sunflower). Its description in RNAcentral is "sRNA HanXRQr2_Chr16g0746431". Lineage: Eukaryota; Viridiplantae; Streptophyta; Magnoliopsida; Asterales; Asteraceae. The record is from RNAcentral.
GGGCACAUAAACAUGACUACAGUCAGCAAUCGAUACGGUAACGAGUCUAGUAUACACAUGGGGUAGCCCCCACGGCUGGAGAGCCAGAUGAUGUACAUGGGGUAGCCCCCACGGCCGAAAUGCCUGAUAACUACAUGGGGUAGCCCCCACGGCCGGAGUGCCGGAGUAACUGGGAACGAACUGGUCACGUUUUUUUUAAACUAUGGGGUAACCCCCACGGCAGGAUGCCAGAUAAUGUAAACUGUUUUCGAAACAACUAAAACGAACGCCCACCCGUGAACUCACUCAACUAGUUGUUGACUCGUUACUACAUGCUUUGCAGGACCAUAGGUUCUCAGUGGGAGCUUGCAUGGAGGAGGAUCGUUAUAAUGUAAACUGUUUUCGAAACAACUAAAACGAACGCCCACCCGUGAACUC